CCAGACUCCUACGGGAGGCAGCAGUGGGGAAUAUUGCACAAUGGGGGAAACCCUGAUGCAGCGACGCCGCGUGAGUGAAGAAGUAUCUCGGUACGUAAAGCUCUAUCAGCAGGGAAGAAAAUGACGGUACCUGACUAAGAAGCCCCGGCUAACUACGUGCCAGCAGCCGCGGUAAUACGUAGGGGGCAAGCGUUAUCCGGAUUUACUGGGUGUAAAGGGAGCGUAGACGGCAGCGCAAGUCUGGAGUGAAAGCCCGGGGCCCAACCCCGGAACUGCUCUGGAAACUGUGCGGCUAGAGUACCGGAGGGGCAGGCGGAAUUCCUAGUGUAGCGGUGAAAUGCGUAGAUAUUAGGAGGAACACCAGUGGCGAAGGCGGCCUGCUGGACAGUAACUGACGUUGAGGCUCGAAAGCGUGGGGAGCAAACAGGAUUAGAUACCCCGGUAC
Molecule: ribosomal RNA, 445 nt
Filed under: uncultured bacterium
Lineage: Bacteria
Description: bacterial SSU rRNA
Rfam family: Bacterial small subunit ribosomal RNA
Source: RNAcentral